CUUUGGAGUACCGGAUCACACUAAUGCUGGCUUUGGCAGCGACGGUAAUGGUGUAUUUUAUGACCCGGAAACGUUACAAGCUUCCACCGGGACCACGUGGUCUCCCGUUGCUUAGCAAUAUUCUAGCAAUACAAAACAAGUCACUGUUCCGGAUGCUGAUACAGUUGGAAAAGAAGUACGGCCCCGUGAUAACCCUUAACCUUGGUCCAAUACGCAC
Haliotis rubra (blacklip abalone) is the source of this 217-nucleotide long non-coding RNA. RefSeq lists it as uncharacterized. The record is from RefSeq and is a predicted model, not a curated record. The transcript has 3 exons. NCBI's taxonomy places the organism in Eukaryota, Metazoa, Mollusca, Gastropoda, Lepetellida, Haliotidae.